Molecule: ribosomal RNA, 195 nt
Filed under: uncultured bacterium
Lineage: Bacteria
Description: partial 16S ribosomal RNA
Rfam family: Bacterial small subunit ribosomal RNA
Source: RNAcentral
ACUCCUACGGGAGGCAGCAGUCACGGUAAUCUUCCACAAUGGACGAAAGUCUGAUGGAGCAACGCCGCGUGAGUGAUGAAGGUUUUCGGAUCGUAAAACUCUGUUGUUAGGGAAGAACACCCGGGAGAGGAUCCCGGUUUGACGGUACCUGACGAGAAAGCCCCGGCUAACUACGUGCCAGCAGCCGCGGUAAUA